AAGCGUUGGAACCUGUGACCAGAACGCAGUGAUGAAUGGUUUUGUACUCGUAGCGUUCUAGGAUGGCUUUAACUCUUAUGCUUUUUUACUCAGAUGUGUACACUUGUAUGAGAUGAAGAAGUUUAAUAUUUUAUGACGCAAUGAAGGUCAUAUGAAUCCUUUAUUUGACCAGUGAUUCUUGCUGUCCCCCCCUCCUUUUGAAACAUACUAGUAUUUCAGCUCUAGAUAUUGAGCUAGCGGGCUAAGGGAACGUUUGGGAACGCUGCUGCAGCUGUGUUUUCAAAAAAUUUAAAUUUUUUUUUUUUUUUACUAAAAUUUAAUAUGAUUUGUAUGUUUUGGAUUGUUUUGA
Molecule: long non-coding RNA, 349 nt
Filed under: Populus trichocarpa (black cottonwood)
Lineage: Eukaryota; Viridiplantae; Streptophyta; Magnoliopsida; Malpighiales; Salicaceae
Description: long non-coding RNA (PTRI_LNC004625)
Source: RNAcentral